This 127-nucleotide small RNA is filed under the name Marmota monax (woodchuck). Lineage: Eukaryota; Metazoa; Chordata; Mammalia; Rodentia; Sciuridae. The record is from RNAcentral.
GCCAGGCGUGGUGGUGCUCGCCUGUAAUCCCAGUGGCUUGGGAGGCUGAGGCAUGAGGAUUACAAGUUCAAAGCCAGCCUCAGCAACUUAGUGAGGCCCUAAGCAAAAUAGCAAGACCCUGUCUAAA